UCAGUGAGUGUGCGGGGGAUUGUGGUCCAGCAGGCAGGCUGAAAAGCCCCCAUUGACUGUGGAAUUUCACUGGUCACUCUGCUACUCUCAGCUCUUUCUACAUUCAAGCUGUCAGCCCCAGCAUGACCCAGCUAAGAACUGGGAGCUUUAAACACAAGGGCCUGGACCGUGAAGGUUUUUAAAGAUACAAGCUGCGUCACAGAAGCAAUCAAAUUUGGAUCCUGAGGUACUAGAAAUUAAGACAACCCAUCAUUGUUGACGGUUUACAAGGCUCAGGAGGAGGAGGAGGAGGAGGUUCUUUGAUCACCUAGAAAAAAGCACCAGAAAUGACACAUUCAUAGAGCAGAGAGGCCAGAACCACCACAUGAGAAGCAAGGCUAACAGGAGAAACAACACCAGCAGGGUGAUGAGGAGAAUAGUGCCAUCAAACUGUGAAGACAUGGGGCAGUGUAUAAAACAUCAAUACAAACCACAACACCAUCAGUGAUAAUUAAAGUUACU
Molecule: long non-coding RNA, 501 nt
Organism: Nerophis ophidion (straightnose pipefish)
Lineage: Eukaryota; Metazoa; Chordata; Actinopteri; Syngnathiformes; Syngnathidae
Exons: 4
Source: RefSeq, a predicted model, not a curated record